UAAUAAACGAAAAUAUAUUAAGUUGUUACCAUGACAACGAACUUUGUUUAUAUUUAUGUUUUCGCCGUUAACGGAACUAAAUAUGGUUCGGAUUACCGAAGAAAUGGUUCGUAAACGAGCCGAACAUAACGAAGGAGAAAUAUUUAACUUGGAAGAAAUAUCGUUGCACCAAGAAAAUAUCGAAAGGAUUGAAAAUCUAGACAAGUGGUGCAGAAAGUUAAAGAUUUUAUAUUUACACAAUAAUAUAAUACCCAAAAUAGGUAAUAUAAGUCUUAUUGAAACACGUACUGUACCAAAACACACUACACGUAAAGCGUGACACUAUCGUCUACUGUUCUAUAUAUGAAAUAACUGAGCAAAUCGUAUUAAGU
This is a long non-coding RNA of Centruroides sculpturatus (bark scorpion), 371 nucleotides long. RefSeq lists it as uncharacterized. NCBI's taxonomy places the organism in Eukaryota, Metazoa, Arthropoda, Arachnida, Scorpiones, Buthidae. The transcript is spliced from 3 exons. The record is from RefSeq and is a predicted model, not a curated record.